This is a long non-coding RNA of Dromiciops gliroides (monito del monte), 418 nucleotides long. RefSeq lists it as uncharacterized. The transcript is spliced from 4 exons. NCBI's taxonomy places the organism in Eukaryota, Metazoa, Chordata, Mammalia, Microbiotheria, Microbiotheriidae. The record is from RefSeq and is a predicted model, not a curated record.
CUGGUAUCUUUUCUUACCAAACUUUGGGAGAGACUGAAGAUGAGUUGGAAAAACAAUCCGAGGAACUCACGGAGCUAUGACUAUGACUGGCAGACUAGAGGCUCUGGAAGUCACUAUUGGCAGCCAUAGCAGGGAUCAGACCGUAACACUGUGUAUGUCAAGGGUGCCUGCAAAAAUAAUGGAAGAGAAGGUGCACGAGGAGGUAUUGGUGUCUACUGGGGACCAGACCAAGAUCUAAACAUAAGUAGUACACAUCCUGGGCGACAGACAAACCAAAGAGCAUCAUUAGAAAAACUACAAUGAUGAAAAUUGAGAAAUCUCAACAUCUUGACAACAAAAUAUUUUUUUCAAGGCUGCUGCCAAAGGGAUUGAGCAAGCAAAGGCCCAAAAUAUGGACAAACUCACUGUGUACACAGAU